CCUACGGGUGGCAGCAGUAGGGAAUCUUCCACAAUGGGCGAAAGCCUGAUGGAGCAACGCCGCGUGGGUGAAGAAGGUCUUCGGAUCGUAAAACCCGGUUGUUAGAGAAGAAAGUGCGUGAGAGUAACUGUUCACGUUUCGACGGUAUCUAACCAGAAAGCAACGGCUAACUACGAGCCCGCAGCCGCGGUAAUACGUAGGUGGCAAGCGUUAUCCGUAUUUAAUGGGCGUAAAGGGAACGCAGGCGGUCUUUUAAGUCUGAUGUGAAAGCCUUCGGCUUAACCGGAGUAGUGCAUUGGAAACUGGGAGACUUGAGUGCAGAAGAGGAGAGUGGAACUCCAUGUGUAGCGGUGAAAUGCGUAGAUAUAUGGAAGAACACCAGUGGCGAAAGCGGCUCUCUGGUCUGUAACUGACGCUGAGGUUCGAAAGCGUGGGUAGCAAACAGGAUUAGAUACCCUGGUAGUC
This 465-nucleotide ribosomal RNA is filed under the name uncultured bacterium. RNAcentral's name for it is "partial 16S ribosomal RNA". It matches the Rfam family "Bacterial small subunit ribosomal RNA", at positions 338 to 795 of the family's 1533-position model. The record is from RNAcentral.